This 64-nucleotide transfer RNA is filed under the name Micrurus fulvius (eastern coral snake). RNAcentral describes it as "tRNA-Lys". It matches the Rfam family "tRNA". From Rfam's summary of the family: Transfer RNA (tRNA) molecules are approximately 80 nucleotides in length. Lineage: Eukaryota; Metazoa; Chordata; Lepidosauria; Squamata; Elapidae. The record is from RNAcentral.
CACUGAGAAGCUUUUUAAAGCAUCAGCCUUUUAAGUUGAAGAAGAAAUACACUUUCCUUAGUGA